Molecule: unclassified non-coding RNA, 280 nt
Filed under: Hevea brasiliensis (rubber tree)
Lineage: Eukaryota; Viridiplantae; Streptophyta; Magnoliopsida; Malpighiales; Euphorbiaceae
Source: RNAcentral
UUUUGACCAGCAAGACUGGGAGGAUAGAAUUAUUUGGGAUAAUUCUCCUCCAUUGAGUGAUAAUACUGCUGAGAGUUGUGAGAUUUCUGAACCUGAUUAUGAAGCAUUGACUGAUAAACAACUGGAUGUGGAGGCCGAGUCUCAAAGUUUACAGUCAGAAAAAGAAAUUGAACCCCAUGAAAAAGGUCACAGCUCCUUUUUUUCUUGCAGUGUUUCUGUGGAGCCUUUUGGUUCAAAACAACCUUCAGGACACCUGGAUUUUUCAUUAUCAGAAGGAAGA